Molecule: long non-coding RNA, 3395 nt
Filed under: Ficedula albicollis (Collared flycatcher)
Lineage: Eukaryota; Metazoa; Chordata; Aves; Passeriformes; Muscicapidae
Description: lncRNA (ENSFALG00000025148.1)
Source: RNAcentral
GCCCUCCACCAACUGAGCCACUCCCAGUUCAGCACCAGCGGGCGCCGGGAUCCCAGUUUGGCACCAGUUCAGCACCAGUUUGGCACUGGGGGAUCCCAGUUCAGCACCAGUUUGGCACUGGGGGAUCCCAGUUCGGCACCAGUUUGGCACUGGGGCAUCCCAGUAUGGCACCAGUUUGGCCCCAGUUCAGUUCCAGUUUGGAACCAGUGGGUCCCAGUUUGGAACCAGUUCGGUCCCAGUUCAAUAAAAGCCCCCCUGGGAGUUUUGGCUCAUCCCGAGGUUUCCAGCUGGAAAAAAAAAACCCGGGAAUUUUGGGUGGGAAAAAUGGGAAUUUGGGGAUUAAAACCAGGGAAUUUGGUACUAAAAAUGGAAAUUUUGGGAGGAAAACCCGGAAUUUUGGGAGCAAAACCAGGAAUUUUGGGAGGAGGAAGUGGCUUUCACAGGAAAAAANNNNNNNNNNNNNNNNNNNNNNNNNNNNNNNNNNNNNNNNNNNNNNNNNNNNNNNNNNNNNGAGGGAAGUGGCUUUCACAGGAAAAAAAAGGGAAUUUUGGGUGGGAAACAGGAAUUUUGGGGGGGGUUGAAUGGAAUUUUGCUGGAAAAACGGGAAUUUGGGCUGGAAAAUUUGGAGAUUUUGGGGGGAAAAAGAUUUGAAUUUUGGGGUUCGGGGCUGAAAUUUUGGGGUUCCUUGUGAGGUUUUGGGUUUGGAUUUUUUUUUUUGGUUCCUGGUUGGAACAUUGGUGGUUCCAGGUCAGGAUUUUGGGGUUCUGAAUUUGGAUUUAGGGUGUUCCAGGUCGAGAUUUGGGGGUUCUGUGUUUGAAUUUUGGGGUUCCUGGGUGAGAUUUUUCAGUGCCUGGUUGGGACUUUGGGGUUUUGUGUUUGAAUUUUGGGGUUCUGGGCUGGAAUUUUGAGGUUCCAGGUUGAGAUUUUGGGGUUCCAGGCUGGGAAUUCGGAGUUCCUUGAUGGGAUUUUGGGGUUCCAGGUUGGGAUUUUUGGGUUCUCUGUUUCAAUUUUGGGGUUCCAGGCUGGGAUUUUGGAGUUCUCUGUUUGAAUUUUGGAGUUCCUGGGUGGGAUUUUGGGGUUCUGUGUUUGAAUUUUGGGGUUCCAGGUCGGGAUUUUGGGGUUCCAGGCUGGGAUUUUGGGGUUCCAGGUCGGGAUUUUGGGGUUCCAGGCUGGGAUUUUGGGGUUCUGUGUUUGAAUUUUGGGGUUCCAGGCUGGGAUUUUGGGGUUCUGUGUUUGAAUUUUGGGGUUCCAGGCUGGGAUUUUGGGGUUCUGUGUUUGAAUUUUGGGGUUCCAGGCUGGGAUUUUGGGGUUCUGUGUUUGAAUUUUGGGGUUCCAGGCUGGGAUUUUGGGGUUCUGUGGUUGAAUUUUGGGGUUCUCUGUUGGGAUUUUGGGGUUCCAGGUCGGGAUUUUGGGGUUCCAGGCUGGGAUUUUGGGGUUCUGUGGUUGAAUUUUGGGGUUCUCUGUUGGGAUUUUGGGGUUCCAGGUCGGGAUUUUGGGGUUCCAGGCUGGGAUUUUGGGGUUCUGUGGUUGAAUUUUGGGGUUCUCUGUUGGGAUUUUGGGGUUCCAGGUCGGGAUUUUGGGGUUCCAGGCUGGGAUUUUGGGGUUCUGUGGUUGAAUUUUGGGGUUCUCUGUUGGGAUUUUGGGGUUCCAGGUCGGGAUUUUGGGGUUCCAGGCUGGGAUUUUGGGGUUCUGUGGUUGAAUUUUGGGGUUCUCUGUUGGGAUUUUGGGGUUCCAGGUCGGGAUUUUGGGGUUCCAGGCUGGGAUUUUGGGGUUCUGUGGUUGAAUUUUGGGGUUCUCUGUUGGGAUUUUGGGGUUCCAGGUCGGGAUUUUGGGGUUCCAGGCUGGGAUUUUGGGGUUCUGUGGUUGAAUUUUGGGGUUCUCUGUUGGGAUUUUGGGGUUCCAGGUCGGGAUUUUGGGGUUCCAGGCUGGGAUUUUGGGGUUCUGUGGUUGAAUUUUGGGGUUCUCUGUUGGGAUUUUGGGGUUCCAGGUCGGGAUUUUGGGGUUCCAGGCUGGGAUUUUGGGGUUCUGUGGUUGAAUUUUGGGGUUCUCUGUUGGGAUUUUGGGGUUCCAGGUCGGGAUUUUGGGGUUCCAGGCUGGGAUUUUGGGGUUCUGUGGUUGAAUUUUGGGGUUCUCUGUUGGGAUUUUGGGGUUCCAGGUCGGGAUUUUGGGGUUCCAGGCUGGGAUUUUGGGGUUCUGUGGUUGAAUUUUGGGGUUCUCUGUUGGGAUUUUGGGGUUCCAGGUCGGGAUUUUGGGGUUCCAGGCUGGGAUUUUGGGGUUCUGUGGUUGAAUUUUGGGGUUCUCUGUUGGGAUUUUGGGGUUCCAGGUCGGGAUUUUGGGGUUCCAGGCUGGGAUUUUGGGGUUCUGUGGUUGAAUUUUGGGGUUCUCUGUUGGGAUUUUGGGGUUCCAGGUCGGGAUUUUGGGGUUCCAGGCUGGGAUUUUGGGGUUCUGUGGUUGAAUUUUGGGGUUCUCUGUUGGGAUUUUGGGGUUCCAGGUCGGGAUGUCAGGCUCCUCCCCCAGCUCCUCUCUGUAAUAUUCGGCGUCGUCCUCGUCCGACGGCUCCGCCUCACCUGCCUCAGGUGCGCCGGGGUCCUCGACGUCACUGUCACCUGUGGGGUCACCUGGGCCACCUGCAGGGGCACCUGGGCCACCUGCUGCCCGGCCCAUCCCGGCCAGGCUGCGCUCCCUGGGAGAGACAGGUCCUGCUCCUGUUUCCGGCGCCGCUCCGCCCUCACCUGCAGCCGCUGCUCCUUCCGGGCCAGCAGCUCCCGCAGCUCCUCCUCACCUUUGGGGGCUGGGGGAACACCUGAGAUCAGCUGGGUGCACCUGAGAUACACCUGGGCACACCUGAGAUACACCUGAGAUCAGCUGGGUGCACCUGAGAUGCACCUGGGCACACCUGAGAUACACCUGAGAUCAGCUGGGUGCACCUGAGAUGCACCUGGGCACACCUGAGAUACACCUGAGAUCAGCUGGGUGCACCUGAGAUGCACCUGGGCACACCUGAGAUACACCUGAGAUCAGCUGGGUGCACCUGAGAUGCACCUGGGCACACCUGAGAUACACCUGAGAUCAGCUGGGUGCACCUGAGAUGCACCUGGGCACACCUGAGAUACACCUGAGAUCAGCUGGGUGCACCUGAGAUGCACCUGGGCACACCUGAGAUACACCUGAGAUCAGCUGGGUGCACCUGAGAUCACCUGGGCACACCUGAGAUACACACCUGGGAUACACCUGUCCCCUCACCUGUCCCAGGUGUGUCACUCACCCAGGCCGUGGUACAGGACGUCGCCCUGGCCCAGCCCCUCCUCCACCUUCAGCAGCUGCAGCGUCAGACGGGGCCCGAUCUGGGAGAGGGGACAGAGGGACAGAGGGACAGACAGAGGGACACGGGGACA